Molecule: ribosomal RNA, 119 nt
Organism: Cercocebus atys (sooty mangabey)
Lineage: Eukaryota; Metazoa; Chordata; Mammalia; Primates; Cercopithecidae
Source: Ensembl
GUCUAUGCCGCACCACCCUGCAGGCGCCGGGUCUCCUCUGAUCUCGUAAAGCUCAGCAGGGUCGGGCCUGGUUAGUACUUGGAUGGGAUUCCGCCUGGGAAUAGCGGGUACCCUAGGCU